GCAAAACACAGCAGCUGCACACCCUCUGCGGGAACGAGAUGUCCGCUUAAUUAAAGCAUGACCAGGCGGCGGGCGUCUCCCGGGGAGAGAGACGCAGUGAUACUGGGUACUGAUCUAGACCUGCUGCCAAGAGAAACGGUGGUCAGCGGGGAUCAGCAGCUCUCCUCUCCAGCAAGAUGGGGCUCCAAAGCCAAUUUGGAAACUGUUUACAUGGUCACUCCUGGCUGCAAAGAAGACUGGGAAACAGGGUGUUUAUCAAGGAACCUGGUAGAGCUCAUCAAGAUUGGAGUUCCAUUGACAAGAAAGACAGGAGGAACAGAAUGGUCUUUGGAUAAGCAAUGACCAUUGCUUAUCUACACAUCUUCUGCAGGCUUCACGCCCAGUAGGGCUUGAACUUGACGAUCACGAG
This 409-nucleotide long non-coding RNA is filed under the name Mustela putorius furo (domestic ferret). RNAcentral's name for it is "lncRNA (ENSMPUG00000031477.1)". The record is from RNAcentral. Lineage: Eukaryota; Metazoa; Chordata; Mammalia; Carnivora; Mustelidae.